AUUCAGAUAGUUUAAAAAAAAUAUUGAUUUGUGGUGUCAAAGAAAUAAUAGUUAUUCUGAAUU
This 63-nucleotide transfer RNA is filed under the name Nanhaipotamon longhaiense. RNAcentral describes it as "tRNA-His". The record is from RNAcentral. Lineage: Eukaryota; Metazoa; Arthropoda; Malacostraca; Decapoda; Potamidae.